This 431-nucleotide ribosomal RNA is filed under the name uncultured cyanobacterium. Its description in RNAcentral is "bacterial SSU rRNA". It matches the Rfam family "Bacterial small subunit ribosomal RNA", at positions 352 to 798 of the family's 1533-position model. The record is from RNAcentral. Lineage: Bacteria; Bacillati; Cyanobacteriota.
GAUUGGGGAAUUUUCCGCAAUGGGCGAAAGCCUGACGGAGCAACGCCGCGUGAGGGAUGAAGGCCUCUGGGCUGUAAACCUCUUUUAUCAAGGAAGAAGAUCUGACGGUACUUGAUGAAUAAGCCACGGCUAAUUCCGCGCCAGCAGCCGCGGUAAUACGGGAGUGGCAAGCGUUAUCCGGAAUUAUUGGGCGUAAAGCGUCCGUAGGCGGCCCUUCAAGUCUGCUGUUAAAAAGUGGAGCUUAACUCCAUCAUGGCAGUGGAAACUGUUGGGCUUGAGUGUGGUAGGGGCAGAGGGAAUUCCCGGUGUAGCGGUGAAAUGCGUAGAUAUCGGGAAGAACACCAGUGGCGAAGGCGCUCUGCUGGGCCAUCACUGACGCUCAUGGACGAAAGCCAGGGGAGCGAAAGGGAUUAGAUACCCCUGUAGUCAAU